UGGGGAAUAUUGCACAAUGGGCGCAAGCCUGAUGCAGCCAUGCCGCGUGUAUGAAGAUGGCCUUCGGGUUGUAAAGUACUUUCAGUCGGGAGGAAGGUGUCAAGGUUAAUAACCUUGGCAAUUGACGUUACCGACAGAAGAAGCACCGGCUAACUCCGUGCCAGCAGCCGCGGUAAUACGGAGGGUGCAAGCGUUAAUCGGAAUUACUGGGCGUAAAGCGCACGCAGGCGGUUGAUUGAGUCAGAUGUGAAAUCCCCGGGCUUAACCCGGGAAUUGCAUCUGAUACUGGUCAGCUAGAGUCUUGUAGAGGGGGGUAGAAUUCCAUGUGUAGCGGUGAAAUGCGUAGAGAUGUGGAGGAAUACCGGUGGCGAAGGCGGCCCCCUGGACAAAGACUGACGCUCAGGUGCGAAAGCGUGGGGAGCAAACAGG
Molecule: ribosomal RNA, 429 nt
Filed under: Chloroflexota bacterium
Lineage: Bacteria; Bacillati; Chloroflexota
Description: Chloroflexi bacterium partial 16S ribosomal RNA
Rfam family: Bacterial small subunit ribosomal RNA
Source: RNAcentral